AAUCACUCCCGAUCAAGUGGAAGGUUUCAAAGAAAGAAAAAAAAAGUGGAAAAAAAGUUGAAAGGUUUCAAAGAAAGAAACUCUUGAUCAAAGAGAGGGUUUGGAGAAAUGAAGAAUUGCGCAGUUUGAUUGCACGCAAAAAUGCAUGUUCAACAAAUGAAAUCAUCAUCAUCAUCGACUCCCUCAGUACAUGUAUACAUGAGAUGAUGCUGCGCCUACAAAACCAUUAAUUG
Long non-coding RNA from Arabidopsis thaliana (thale cress), 233 nucleotides. RefSeq annotates it as other RNA. NCBI's taxonomy places the organism in Eukaryota, Viridiplantae, Streptophyta, Magnoliopsida, Brassicales, Brassicaceae. The record is from RefSeq. The transcript has a single exon.